This is a long non-coding RNA of Oncorhynchus tshawytscha (Chinook salmon), 1921 nucleotides long. Lineage: Eukaryota; Metazoa; Chordata; Actinopteri; Salmoniformes; Salmonidae. The record is from Ensembl.
CGCUUAUAUUUGACCGGGGCAACUCUAGCAGGGCAGAAAUUUGACGAACUGACAAUAUGAAAAGGUGGCAUGUUGAAAGUCACUGAGCUCUUCAGUAUAGGCCAUUGUACUGCCAAUGUUUGUCUAUGGAGAUUGCAUGACUGCGUGCUCGAUUUUAUACAACUGUCAGCAACGGUUGUGGCUGAAAUAGCCAAAUCUACUAAUAUGAAGGGGUGGCCACAUACGUUUGGCCGUAUUGUGUGUGUAUAGGCCUAAAUAAUCAUUGAUGAUAUGACUGAAAAGAUAUGGUUACAUUUCAUUUGCUCUGUUGAAUUUAUCUGUUGGAAUGACUUCAAUAGCAACAGUGAAUCUAUUACUGUAAGUGGAGAUUUCAUAACAAUCAUUCUCACAAUAGCACAUUGGUAAUAGUCAGUAACAAACAUCAAAGCUAAGCAGGGCUGGGCUUGGUUAAAACCCUGGAUGGGAGACCAAAAUGGAUACCUGUAGAUAGAUCAACUCUCCAGUAGGAGGUGCUGCCCAGAUGUUUUUUUUCUUGUAGUGGAUAUUACACCGAAGACCUGAAGUUUUUUUCAAACGUACAAAUUCAACCCAUUUUAUAUCAAGGUUUGUCUUGUUGAAAAUGGAUUACCAUGACAUAAUCCUGUGGUUGAAAUGUUACCCUCAACAACAGUUGAUUACUUUUUUUAAGGAUGUGAGUACUCAUACACCUGUACUUCACUCUUACUUAUCAUAAACUCCAAAUAUAAUGUAUACACAAACUAUAGGACUAAAUAAAUUCAUUAUUUUCUGUCUGUAGGGUUAUGUGAUAAUCCAGACAGAUUUUGGCUUCCCCCAUCUGUUUGUGGAAUUCCUCAGGAAGACUCUGGAGUGACUCAAAUAUUGAGCUGGUGGGAGUGGUCAAAGCUCCUCCCUCUUUUGAGACACAUACAGUUAUAAUGUGCUCCGAUGUGCAAUGUUUUGAAUGACUCUAUUAGCGGAAAUGUUGAUAAACUUUAGACUUGGGAGUACAAUUACUAAUUGUAAUUGCACCUGGACCAGGAACAGGUGCAAGCACAUAGCAAAUCAGGCACUGUGUAUAAGCCUAUUAAACUGCAGUUUGAGUACCGAUCAGAUGACUAGACCGUCAGUUGUUAGCGAGAAGUCCUGGCCUCACUCUCCUAGAUCUGUCAGAAGACGACAUCAAGGCUGGUACUCUCAAGGCCCUGACUGACUCUCUACAGAAGCUGAACGUCUCCAAACAGAUUGUCCACAUAUCUGUUGAUGGGCUGAUGAUUCUGACCAGUUUCCUGUCUGUAUGUCUUGAUGUGGUUCAAGUGGACAUCAGUCUGACGGGCUGUGCUCUUCGUCUCCCUCACUUGGACCGUCUGUGUGAGAAUCUGAGGGACUGCUCUGCUCUGACUAUGCUGGAGUAAGUGUUCUCAGGGAGAGACUUUGGAGUGUGAAAUAGCAAUACGGAUAAUUGUUGGAAUGCACAUAUACAAGGACCUGUUUGUUUUUGUUCAUCACCCCCCACCGUUGUCAGUAUUUCCAACAAUGCUUUGGAAAACAAAGGUCUGAAGAAGUUGUUGGACCUCUUGCCUCAGCUUAGCAACAUACAGGAAAUCAAUGUCAGUGAGAAUGCAGUCAGCAUGGAAGGAGUUGUGCAGCCUAGCUGGAACCCUGUGCUCACACAGGAACAUGAGUGAAGUGAAUAUCAGAAUACUAUCAACGGGAUUGGAACAGUGUAAGAAACUCAGGUAGGACACAGAACGAUAUGUAACUUUUUGGGCGACCCAACCAAAUUCACAUAGAAAUGUGAGUUAUUGUCACGCCCUGGUCUUAGUAUUUUGUGUUUAUAUAUUUAUUUGGUCAGGCCAGGGUGUGACAUGGGUUUAUUUUGUGGUGUGUUUUUGUAUUGGGGUUUUUAGUAGGUAUUGGGAUU